UAAUUUGAAAAGGGUAUUAAAUUUGGGGAGGAAAAAAAUGUGUUUUUAUUCUAGAAAGCGAUUAGCUUGCGGUAGAGAUUAUGCAACCGGCUGUAUUUAUAUACAUUGCCAUUUAUUUACACCUCGGAAAACAAUAAAUAUUUCUCUUCUUCUUUGCUCUCUCUGUCUCAAACAAUGUCAAUAUUUUCCUUGAAUAAUGCCGCUCCAAGUAAGUAAAUAUUCAUUCCUUAUGCCUUUAAUAUUGUAAACCAGGAAAAGAAAGUACAACACCUUUGCACAAGAGCUCUGGUUUUGUAAAAUAGUGUCAUACAUUGCAACUCCAGAUAUAGAUAGCACAAUACCUGAUGAUGCAAAAAUUCAAUCCAUUUGUGGAGUGCAGACUUAUAAAGAUAAAGGCCAGGACGUGUUGAGGUUUGAGGACUACCAGAUAGGUGAUAAAGGUUAGAAAUGUGGUUCUUCAUUUAGUGUUUCAGGCACACAGGGAUUUGGUGUCAUCGACAACACGAGGCCUUUCAAAUCACCAAUAUUUAACCAAUCAUCUGUUGAUCAACCUUUUUAUUCCCAUUUUUGAAGUACAUUUGCAGUGGAAAGAACAGGGCGUGAUACUCAAUCAAAUGAAAAUUGUAUAGCAACUGCAUCUACCCCAUUUCCGAAGUCACAGCAGUGCAUUUCCCAUACAUUUCCCCCCCAAUACAUCAUUGCUAAACUCUUGUGGCACUGGAAGUGGAGUGGAAUCUACUGCCUCAGAUGUUUCUUUUUUAUCCGUGGAUCCAUUCAGGGCCGUUUGUACCUUUAAAACCAGCUUCCAUUCUUCCACUACCUCCACCUUUUCUCCAUUAAUGAAUCUCCAUGGUCUUUAUCAACAUCUGCCCCUCUAUCUCCAUGUUCAGUCUCACCUUCCACAUAUCCUUUGUUAGCAAAACCAUCCGCCCAAUGCUUUUGAUCAAAUUUCUCCCACUCCUGUUCUAACUACAGGAGGCGCUCCACAAUCCACAUUAUGCUUGAAUUGCCUAAAGCAGUCUCAGCCUUAUCCACCAGGGCUUUGUAAAGUUUCAAGCACUCCACUUGCUGCAAAUCAAAAUACUCCUGUUCUUUGGUCCUCUGGAGCCAGAAAUGACUCCUAAAGUUGGCGCAACACUUGCAACAACCAAUGCUUCUCACCCAUCAACAGGUUAAGUUUCUCUUUUCAAGUUUAGCCAAUCUCUCUCUAUGCUCAAAUCUUCUCUCUUUUAACAUUUGGUCUUAUUUUCUGAGAAUCAUGGAAGUGAAUCCGUCACCAAUUAUGCCUUCUGCUGAAACACAACCUUCAGUCCAAAUCUCGGUUGAGCACCCGAAUUUGGCAACUUCCAUCCAGUAUGGAAUUUCUAGUUAGUUUUACAUUUCUGAACAACUAAUUAUAAUUAAUGCUGCUGCUGGAUGUUUAUAAUUAAUGUUACAUGAUGACCCCCCUAAG
This is a long non-coding RNA of Solanum dulcamara, 1453 nucleotides long. RefSeq lists it as uncharacterized. NCBI's taxonomy places the organism in Eukaryota, Viridiplantae, Streptophyta, Magnoliopsida, Solanales, Solanaceae. The transcript has 5 exons. The record is from RefSeq and is a predicted model, not a curated record.